RNAcentral lists this ribosomal RNA (315 nucleotides) under uncultured bacterium. Its description in RNAcentral is "bacterial SSU rRNA". It matches the Rfam family "Bacterial small subunit ribosomal RNA", at positions 28 to 334 of the family's 1533-position model. The record is from RNAcentral.
GAUGAAUGCUGGCGGCGUGCCUAACACAUGCAAGUCGAGCGCGACUGAUUUGAUGCUUGCAUCAUUGAAAGUUGAGCGGCGGACGGGUGAGUAACGCGUGGGUAACCUGCCCUAUACACAUGGAUAACAUACUGAAAAGUUUACCAAUACAUGAUAAUGUAUAUUUACGGCAUCGUAGGUAUACCAAAGUGUUAGCGGUAUAGGAUCGGACCCGCGUCUGAUUAGCUAGUUGGUGAGAUAACUGCCCACCAAGGCGAUGAUCAGUAGCCGGUCUGAGAGGACGAACGGCCACAUUGGGACUGAGACACGGCCCAA